Molecule: non-coding RNA, 24 nt
Filed under: Rattus norvegicus (Norway rat)
Lineage: Eukaryota; Metazoa; Chordata; Mammalia; Rodentia; Muridae
Source: RNAcentral
UAAAGAUCUCAAAGUUACAUGCCC